Cyprinus carpio (common carp) is the source of this 1254-nucleotide long non-coding RNA. NCBI's taxonomy places the organism in Eukaryota, Metazoa, Chordata, Actinopteri, Cypriniformes, Cyprinidae. The record is from Ensembl.
CAAAUAUGCAGGGACCAUAUAAAGGGUUCUCUGCAUUCCUGUCUGAAUAGUCUCCAACACAAAUUUAUGUCUGGUGUUAUGCACAUGUUUUAAAUCUGGUACUGGCAGACACAACAGGCAGUGUCAUAGAGAGUGCAUCUCUCUUCUCACUACUAAAUGAUGUAGCAGUUUUCCUCAGGAAGUCUUAUAAACGUAUGCAGACUUGGGAAGAGAUAAGUGAGGACAAACGUCACAGGAGACUGAGCCCAAUAGGGGAAACCAGAUGGUGGGCUAAGGAUCAGGCUUUCACUAAGGUCUUUGGUUCGUUUGGUAAUCCCCAGGAUGCAUUGUUUGUUGACCUGCUGCUGGACCUAGCCUCUGUUGAGGAAGUUGGAAGUAUGAAGUCAACCGUGAGGGUCAAAGCAAAGGGAUUAAUUGAAAAUCUUCUGAAAUAUGAGAUUAUCCUCAUUGCUCAAACUUUCCUUCGCAUUUUCCAACAUACAUCCCCCCUCUCAAAGUACCUACAGACACACGGAAUGGAUAUUUUGUCAGCUCAGCGUCUGGUUGAGGGGACAAAGAAUAACCUCAAAAAAUAUGUCAAGGACUUUGAGGGAGUGAAAGUGGCAGCUGAUAAGUUUGUGAGAUGGGCCAAUGAAAAGCUAGAAGAGAUGGACAACUAUGAACUACUUGUGCAGACUGCACUUCCAGAGAAGUGUGUCCGAAAAAAGAAAAGAAUGCCCGGAGAGCUUUUAGAUGAUGAACCAGUAGCCUCAUCUGAUGCUGCCUUUGAGGUGAAUGUCCAUAAUGUUAUUCUGGACACUGUGGCAGGUAGCAUAGAUAGGAGGUUUUCAGCAAAUGCAAAACUUGCCUCAGAUUUUGCUUGUCUUGACCCUAAAAACUUUCCUGAAAUAAAGAUAAAUGGGCUCCCUAACUCAUCACUCCAGGAAAUUAGCAAAUGUCUGCUUAGGUUUGAUGAAAGAGCUACCGUUAGCACAUUACAAACUGAGCUUUGUAGCCUGGCAUACCAGUGGGACAGACUGAAACACUCCUCUCUUGAAGGUUAUACUUUCAGGACAUGUAGUGAGGUGACACAGGAAGGUCAGGAGGAUAGUGGAGGACUGCCAUGUAUGGAAGAACCAGAGAUGGAACUUGAAAGCAGGACCUGUUCCUCCUGCAAAAACUGUACCAUUUGUGUCCAUUUAAUACUCUCACAGAAUAACCUCCUCACAGAUGCUUAUCGUGAUUGGGUUAGGAUAUAAGUUUCUGUUGACUUUG